UNCAUGGNAGCAAGUCUGAUGGAGCAACGCCGCGUGAGUGAAGAAGGUUUUCGGAUCGUAAAGCUCUGUUGUUGGUGAAGAAGGAUAGAGGUAGUAACUGGCCUUUAUUUGACGGUAAUCAACCAGAAAGUCACGGCUAACUACGUGCCAGCAGCCGCGGUAAUACA
RNAcentral lists this ribosomal RNA (167 nucleotides) under uncultured Lactobacillus sp. Its description in RNAcentral is "partial 16S ribosomal RNA". It matches the Rfam family "Bacterial small subunit ribosomal RNA", at positions 368 to 527 of the family's 1533-position model. The record is from RNAcentral. Lineage: Bacteria; Bacillati; Bacillota; Bacilli; Lactobacillales; Lactobacillaceae.